This 430-nucleotide ribosomal RNA is filed under the name Pseudomonadota bacterium. RNAcentral's name for it is "Proteobacteria bacterium partial 16S ribosomal RNA". It matches the Rfam family "Bacterial small subunit ribosomal RNA", at positions 355 to 776 of the family's 1533-position model. The record is from RNAcentral. Lineage: Bacteria; Pseudomonadati; Pseudomonadota.
UGGGGAAUAUUGGACAAUGGGGGGAACCCUGAUCCAGCCAUGCCGCGUGUGUGAAGAAGGCCUUAUGGUUGUAAAGCACUUUAAGCGAGGAGGAGGGUACUGGUAUUAAUACUACCAGCUACUGGACGUUACUCGCAGAAUAAGCACCGGCUAACUCUGUGCCAGCAGCCGCGGUAAUACAGAGGGUGCGAGCGUUAAUCGGAUUUACUGGGCGUAAAGCGUGCGUAGGCGGCUAAUUGAGUCGGAUGUGAAAUCCCCGAGCUUAACUUGGGAAUUGCAUUCGAUACUGGUUAGCUAGAGUGUGGGAGAGGAUGGUAGAAUUCCAGGUGUAGCGGUGAAAUGCGUAGAGAUCUGGAGGAAUACCGAUGGCGAAGGCAGCCAUCUGGCCUAACACUGUCGCUGAGGUACGAAAGCAUGGGGAGCAAACAGG